AUUUUUAUAGUUUAAUUUAAAAUAUUAUAUUUUCAUUAUAAAGAUAAUUAAUAUAUUUAAAAAUU
This 65-nucleotide transfer RNA is filed under the name Aleurodicus dugesii (Doogie Howzer whitefly). RNAcentral's name for it is "tRNA-Glu". The record is from RNAcentral. Lineage: Eukaryota; Metazoa; Arthropoda; Insecta; Hemiptera; Aleyrodidae.